RNAcentral lists this ribosomal RNA (498 nucleotides) under uncultured bacterium. RNAcentral describes it as "partial 16S ribosomal RNA". It matches the Rfam family "Bacterial small subunit ribosomal RNA", at positions 30 to 523 of the family's 1533-position model. The record is from RNAcentral.
AUUGAACGCUGGCGGCAUGCCUUACACAUGCAAGUCGAACGGUAACGGGCCUUCGGGUGCCGACGAGUGGCGAACGGGUGAGUAAUGUAUCGGAACGUACCUUUCAGUGGGGGAUAACGUAGCGAAAGUUACGCUAAUACCGCAUAUUCUGUGAGCAGGAAAGCAGGGGAUCGCAAGACCUUGCGCUGAUUGAGCGGCCGAUAUCAGAUUAGCUAGUUGGUGAGGUAAAGGCUCACCAAGGCGACGAUCUGUAGCGGGUCUGAGAGGAUGAUCCGCCACACUGGAACUGAGACACGGUCCAGACUCCUACGGGAGGCAGCAGUGGGGAAUUUUGGACAAUGGGGGCAACCCUGAUCCAGCCAUGCCGCGUGAGUGAAGAAGGCCUUCGGGCUGUAAAGCUCUUUCGGCCGGGAAGAAAUCGUAUGGGUUAAUACCCUGUGCGGAUGACGGUACCGGCACAAGAAGCACCGGCUAACUACGUGCCAGCAGCCGCAGUAA